Passer domesticus (house sparrow) is the source of this 806-nucleotide long non-coding RNA. RefSeq lists it as uncharacterized. Lineage: Eukaryota; Metazoa; Chordata; Aves; Passeriformes; Passeridae. The record is from RefSeq and is a predicted model, not a curated record. The transcript is spliced from 2 exons.
CUGUCAUGGGUUGGCCCUGGCACAGUGCCAGUGCCCACAUGAAAGGUGUAUUUCCAAAAUGGUUACUCUGAGAUGUGAUCCGGAAACAGAACAAAGCAGGCUCCCACUUGGGGAUGGAGGGAAAAACACAACACUUUAAUAAUCUACAACACAGAAACAUAAGGAAAAAGAAAAAAAACCACACACAACAAUCCCACAACAAUCCACAACGGAACACUUCCUAAACACUCCUCCUCCCCCCAGUCCUCUCACAUCCAAAUCCCCUCUAACACAUCACUUCUCAGUCCAAUACCCUCCUUCACACAAGCUCCCCCCAGUUCAUCAGGAGAGAGGAGUCUCCCUCUUGCACCAUGGGCCUCCCCAGGAAACACAGUGGAACCUCCUGUCCUUCUGUGUCACACAUGGCAGCCGUCCGAAGAAAAUCUGCCAUGGUAACCAUCUUCCUUCCAUGUCCGUUGCUCUCACCACAGUCCAUGGAUUCAAACUGCUCCUUAGGCCCUUUUAAGAAUGCUUUAUCGCCCUGUUCCAAGAAGUGGCCUUCUCUCACUAUUUGGGACAUCUGUCCCCCCAUAUUUUUACUCCCCUGGGGCCUGCAUCUCAGGAACAGAGAUCCCAUGCUGAAGUCAGAGGGCUCCACCACACCCUACCCCUCAGUCUCUGUUCCCUCUAACUCUCCUCGAAGCCUUAUCAUUCUUGGCUUCCAGCCAACCACCUCCCCCAAAGUGCCGUCUCUGCAUUAUCAGAAGAAAUUGGUUUCGCCUGUGGCUAGGGCCCUUUGCAGAAGACAGUAAACCCAGUAUAAUCAU